Molecule: ribosomal RNA, 450 nt
Filed under: uncultured bacterium
Lineage: Bacteria
Description: bacterial SSU rRNA
Rfam family: Bacterial small subunit ribosomal RNA
Source: RNAcentral
GCCCCAGACUCCUACGGGAGGCAGCAGUGGGGAAUAUUGCACAAUGGGGGAAACCCUGAUGCAGCAACGCCGCGUGAAGGAAGACGGUUUUCGGAUUGUAAACUUCUAUCAAUAGGGAAGAAAGAAAUGACGGUACCUAAAUAAGAAGCCCCGGCUAACUACGUGCCAGCAGCCGCGGUAAUACGUAAGGGGCAAGCGUUAUCCGGAUUUACUGGGUGUAAAGGGAGCGUAGACGGCAGCGCAAGUCUGAAGUGAAAUCCCAUGGCUUAACCAUGGAACUGCUUUGGAAACUGUGCAGCUGGAGUGCAGGAGAGGUAAGCGGAAUUCCUAGUGUAGCGGUGAAAUGCGUAGAUAUUAGGAGGAACAUCGGUGGCGAAAGCGCUUUACUGGGCCGUUAUUGACGCUGAGGAACGAAAGCCAGGGUAGCAAACGGGAUUAGAUACCCGUGUA